Long non-coding RNA from Sycon ciliatum, 585 nucleotides. RefSeq lists it as uncharacterized. The transcript is spliced from 4 exons. NCBI's taxonomy places the organism in Eukaryota, Metazoa, Porifera, Calcarea, Leucosolenida, Sycettidae. The record is from RefSeq and is a predicted model, not a curated record.
CAAAAGUCAGAUCUCUAUUCCAUCUCAUCUGGAACGUAGGAAUUCUUCUGCAGCCGACCCGAGGUGCUCAAGAUCAUACGUUAUGGGACAGCUACGAUGUCCUUUUCUGGUGGCUCUCGCUCUAACGGCAGCUUGGUUAGGAACAGAUGCAACUAUAGACCGCUAUGCUAUUCACUUCAACUGUAAUACCCCAGAGGGCCUCUACUACAUCAGCUCCAGCAAGUGGAUAGGAAAAUCGGCUAGAGAUGUUAACUCAACUUGUGCUUCGGGUUAUGGAUAUCAUAUACUGCAAGCUUCAGAAGCAAAUUCAACAUGUUUCCGCGAUUACUUGGCUCACAUUGACUAUAUGCUUGAUGCCAGCGUUACCGUCUACACCGAAUCAAAUGGAAACAUAUCUUGCUACCGGUCGAGGGGUCCAUGCCCGGACUCAGGGCCUAUCAUUGUGUGCAGCAAUAAGCUCGCUGAUGCUAGCAAUGCUACUGGUAACUUAAGAUGUCCAAAAAAUCUAAUGAUCUCAAAUGGAAAAGUACUCUACCCGUCAGACAAUGUCUUUCCAUCUCAAGCAGUGUACAUAUGCAACCCAGG